AGAAUCAACGCUGGCGGCGUGCCUAACACAUGCAAGUCGAACGAGAAAGUGGUAGCAAUACCAUGAGUAAAGUGGCGCACGGGUGAGUAACACGUGACUAACCUACCCUGGAGUGGGGAAUAACUGGGAGAAAUCCUAGCUAAUACCGCAUAACACCUACGGGUCAAAGGAGCAAUUCGCUUCAGGAGGGGGUCGCGGCCGAUUAGUUAGUUGGCGGGGUAAUGGCCCACCAAGACGAUGAUCGGUA
Molecule: ribosomal RNA, 247 nt
Filed under: uncultured bacterium
Lineage: Bacteria
Description: partial small subunit ribosomal RNA
Rfam family: Bacterial small subunit ribosomal RNA
Source: RNAcentral